AGGACGAACGCUGGCGGCGCGCUUAACACAUGCAAGUCGAGCGAGAACCGAAGCCUUCGGGCAUCGGGGAAAGCGGCGAACGGGUGAGUAACACGUGGGCAACCCACCCUUGGUACCGGGAUAGCCCGGGGAAACCCGGAUUAAUACCGGAUGGCCCAGCAGCCUUUCGGGGCGGCUGGAAAAGGGAGCUUCGGCCUCCGACCAAGGACGGGCCCGCGGCGGAUUAGCUUGUUGGUGGGGUAACGGCCUACCAAGGCGACGAUCCGUAGCUGGUCUGAGAGGACGAUCAGCCACACUGGGACUGAGACACGGCCCAGACUCCUACGGGAGGCAGCAGUGGGAAUCUUGCGCAAUGGGCGAAAGCCUGACGCAGCGACGCCGCGUGGGGGAAGAAGGCUUUCGGGUUGUAAACCCCUUUCAGGAAGGACGAAGCUCCUCGGGUGAAUAGCCCAGAGGGUGACGGUACUUCCAGAAGAAGCCCCGGCUAACUACGCGCCAGCAGCCGC
Molecule: ribosomal RNA, 506 nt
Filed under: uncultured bacterium
Lineage: Bacteria
Description: SSU rRNA
Rfam family: Bacterial small subunit ribosomal RNA
Source: RNAcentral